UAGGAUCAUUAUAUUCAAUGGGUUUAGAAACCAACCUGCAUAAUGAUUUGAUACUUUGAUUUUAGAUAAGUGAUUUGUGACCAAAUAUUAUGCAGAUGGGGAAUUAUAUUUAUCUACUUAUGUUUUUUUUUUGUGAUUACCAUUUUUCAGAAGGGCAAAAAGUAAAAAUAAAACAUCAUACAUAUGGAUGAAUAGAAUUCCAUUUUAUUAAUGAUCAAAUUUUGAAAAUGCCAAACAAUGUUCACUUUCCCUUAGGCAUAGGAGAAGGAUUU
Molecule: long non-coding RNA, 272 nt
Filed under: Lathyrus oleraceus (garden pea)
Lineage: Eukaryota; Viridiplantae; Streptophyta; Magnoliopsida; Fabales; Fabaceae
Description: Pisum sativum (pea) long non-coding RNA (PSAT_LNC020428)
Source: RNAcentral